Oenanthe melanoleuca is the source of this 1062-nucleotide long non-coding RNA. RefSeq lists it as uncharacterized. The transcript is spliced from 5 exons. NCBI's taxonomy places the organism in Eukaryota, Metazoa, Chordata, Aves, Passeriformes, Muscicapidae. The record is from RefSeq and is a predicted model, not a curated record.
CGGGCGCUAACGUGACAGCGCUUCCGGUUCGGGUGCCGGCGGUGCCGCCGCUCCCUCGGCGGGCGGAGUGUGGGGCUCGGGCACCCGGCGGCAUCGGGGCGGGCGCUGGGGCCGCGCGGCGCUGCCGCUGCUGCUCCGGGCUGCUGCCGGGGCUCCCGUGCCGCCGGCCGUGCGCGGGAGGGCGGUGCGGGGAUUUCCCCGCGCUGAGGGGAACCGGCCCCGGCGCCUCCCGAACCCGCCGCUCCGGCGCUGCCAGGGAGUUUGUGAUCAAUUAAAAAGAUGCCUUGUAUUCUCGGAGUGUUCCAUUCUGCCUCUGCUGUUUUUCCUGCUAGUCUGGAUCCUCUGCUUAGAUUUUUUUUUUCUUCCUAUUUUAGAUGCCCUGGCUGUGGUGGAUGUCCCGGUUGAGGGCAGUGAUGGCUUUCAUGAAGAAAUCUUUAAAUGAAGACGGGAUUACCCAAACCUUUCCCUUCCCUGCUGCACUAGAAGCCAGGAAUAUCCUGUUGCUUCAGUCUGAAAACGGAACAGGACACCUUGAUAAGCGUGAUUCCUAGAGCUGAAGGGAGACACCACAGCCAGACAAGUUUAAAAAUCACGAGGAGGUGAGCAAAGAACCUGCUGUGCCCCUGGAUUCUGCAUUUACCACUUUGCUAAAGAGAGCCUAUGAGAGAGGAAGCAAUACCCUACUGGAAGGUGGUGUUCAGACAAAAUUGGCUUCCUGGCUCCCACCUGACCAGCUUUUGUUGGGAGUAAAGCAUGUGCUGUUAUACCUGAAAUCCACAGUGGAGAACUUCAGCAGGCUUGGUAAAACUUUGGGUCCUCAGCUUGUUGAUCUCUGUGUGGACCUGCUGAGCAUCUUGUUGUGCCGGGACAAUGAAAUAAAGCUGGAGCAGCAGCAGAAGCAGGAGGAGCAUCAGGCUGAUGGGAUCUCUUCAUGGAUGAGGAGCCUCUGAUGACAGAAGUGUCUUCAAAUGACAAGACCCUGGAGGAUGCACUCACCUUGAUUUUCAGACAUCCUGCACUGGAGAGCUGGUUCCUGGCGUUGGAGCUGCGCUCUGUUCCUCA